RNAcentral lists this long non-coding RNA (1336 nucleotides) under Oryctolagus cuniculus (rabbit). RNAcentral's name for it is "lncRNA (ENSOCUG00000034592.1)". Lineage: Eukaryota; Metazoa; Chordata; Mammalia; Lagomorpha; Leporidae. The record is from RNAcentral.
CGAGUCCCAGCUAUUGUGGCUUUAAGUGACGUGAACCAGUGCAUGGAAGAUCUCUCUGUGUCUUUUGUUUCUCUCUCUUCCUUGUCAAUAAAUAAUUUAAAAAGUUAAAACAAAAAGUCCAAAUCUUCCACCGGCUCCCCUACUGACAGUGCAAGUCCCGACAGUGACCUGGAGCUGGGUGCAGUGUCGCCUCCCUCCUUUGCUGACCCCACUCUCCCUUCAUGCUCUCUGCUCUAGCCAGAAUGGUCUCCAUGGGGUUCCCACAACAUCCCAGGCAAUAACAACCUGGUAUGGGGGCCUUUGAACUGGCUUUGUCCCCAGCUGGAAUUCCGUUCCCCCAGAGGUCACACGAGUGGCUCCCUCACCUCUCAGAUGUCACCGUCUCACAGACACCCACUUGUACAGAUGAGCAUUUCCGGCCCCCUCCUUGCUGCCUCGAUGCCUCCAUGACACCAGCGUUCUAGGUUUGUUGACAGCCCCGGCCACCAGGACAGCGGCUGUGAAUUCGUCGGUUUUGUUACCGUAUUCCUGCGCCCGACACCUGGUCGGUGUUCAUCAGAUGCUCGUGGAUCAGGACCAGCCCCCAGGAAGCUCAGAGCCGAACAUGCAGCUGGUCACUCUCCGAGCCUUUUCUUAGCCUUGGAUUCCUUCUCUUAUUUAUGUCAACCUUGUCACCAGCUUCUUCCUGUCCCUUGUGAAGGAGUAAGACAUGUCGUAUCUGGGGGCCUGUGUUGUGGUGCAGCUGAUGAAGCUGCCGCUGGUGACAUCAGCAUUCCAUAUCGGAGAGACAAUCCCAGUCCCGGCUGCUCUGCCCACGCUCCACCCCCCUGCUGGUCUCCCACGCGGGUGCAGGGGCCCAAGGACCUGGGCCAUCUUCCACUGCUUUCCCAGGCCAUAGCAGAGAGCUGGAUCGGAAGUGGAGCAACUGGGACUCGAACCGGCGCCCAUAUGGGAUUCUAGCACCACAGGCUGCAGCUUUACCCAGUAUGCCACAGCACUGGCCCCAUUAUUACAGUGCUUUUAGUCAUUCAAUAUCACGGUUUUAAUGUCUAAGAAUUCCACUUUGUACUCAUUUGCAUAACAUCCUGUCUUUUUAAAAAAUAUAUUUUCAUUUUAUUUGAAAAGCAGAGAUCCAGAAGGGGACACACACGCACACAGAGGGUGAAGAGUUAAAAUUGUAUAUGUGCAGGUGUAAAAAGUUAAGCUUAAGCUUACAGGUUUAAACCUUCCUGGUACAGCUGUAAAAAUAAGACAGAAUAGCCCCUUGACAGUAGGGACUCCAUUUUGGAGCACUUGAGACUCCAUUCUGAGAAAGCACCCCCCACCCCCCCCACCG